UGAACGCUGGCGGCGUGCCUAAUACAUGCAAGUCGAGCGAACGGACGAGAAGCUUGCUUUUCUGAUGUUAGCGGCGGACGGGUGAGUAACACGUGGAUAACCUACCUAUAAGACUGGGAUAACUUCGGGAAACCGGAGCUAAUACCGGAUAAUAUUUUGAACCGCAUGGUUCAAAAGUGAAAGACGGUCUUGCUGUCACUUAUAGAUGGAUCCGCGCUGCAUUAGCUAGUUGGUAAGGUAACGGCUUACCAAGGCAACGAUGCAUAGCCGACCUGAGAGGGUGAUCGGCCACACUGGAACUGAGACACGGUCCAGACCCCUACGGGAGGCAGCAGUAGGGAAUCUUCCGCAAUGGGCGAAAGCCUGACGGAGCAACGCCGCGUGAGUGAUGAAGGUCUUCGGAUCGUAAAACUCUGUUAUUAGGGAAGAACAUAUGUGUAAGUAACUGUGCACAUCUUGACGGUACCUAAUCAGAAAGCCACGGCUAACUACGUG
This 495-nucleotide ribosomal RNA is filed under the name uncultured bacterium. Its description in RNAcentral is "partial 16S ribosomal RNA". It matches the Rfam family "Bacterial small subunit ribosomal RNA", at positions 30 to 507 of the family's 1533-position model. The record is from RNAcentral.